CCAUCUGGGCUACACAGGUGAUUUUGAUGGGUGCCGUGGAGGGUUACAGAGUUGCAGGCGGUCCACUGGGAGAGGUGACCGAUCCCAUUUACCCUGGUGGUAGCUUUGACCCAUUGGGUCUGGCUGAUGACCCAGAAGCCUUUGCUGAGCUCAAAGUCAAGGAAAUUAAGAAUGGUCGGUUAGCCAUGUUCUCUAUGUUCGGUUUCUUUGUUCAGGCCAUUGUUACAGGAAAAGGUCCAUUGGAGAACUUGGCUGACCACCUUGCUGAUCCUGUAAACAACAAUGCCUGGGCUUACGCCACCAACUUCGUUCCUGGAAAAUGAGCUUGUAAUUGAAAUUAAUGUGUGAUUUUCAGAUUUUAAUUCAAGGUGGCGGUGUGU
RNAcentral lists this long non-coding RNA (380 nucleotides) under Carica papaya (papaya). RNAcentral describes it as "long non-coding RNA (CPAP_LNC011353)". Lineage: Eukaryota; Viridiplantae; Streptophyta; Magnoliopsida; Brassicales; Caricaceae. The record is from RNAcentral.